UUUCCGUAGGUGAACCUGCGGAAGGAUCAUUAAAAAAUUGGACUCCAUUGGUGAGUUCAUUAAUAAUCCUACCCUUUGUGAAUUUGUUUGUUUGAAUAAUUUUUUUCCAAAAAAAAUUAUUGAAUGUCUUUCCCUGUUUUGGUGGAGCUUGUAAAGUGAAACCAGGCAGGGGAAUGGCAAACAAUAAUUAUUUUUGAAAAAGACCUUUUUUAAAAUUAAACUUUUUGUAUUCAUUUGUCUAAAAUUAUUUUUAUAAUAUAAAAACAACUUUUGACAAUGGAUCUCUUGGUUCUCGCAACGAUGAAGAACGCAGCAAAAUGCGAUAAGUAGUGUGAAUUGCAGAAUACGUGAAUCAUCGAAUCUUCGAACGCAUAUUGCACUUUUUUAGUUUACUAAAAAAGUAUGUCUGUUUGAGUAUCAGUAAAAUAUUCUCAUAAAAAAUUUAUUUUUUAUGGUUAUGAGUGUUUUACAACGAUAACAAGUUGUUUCACUUUAAAUUCUUUGUUAUCAAAAAAAUCAUUAAAAGCUAAUUUUAAAGAUUUUUUAAAAUUGGAUAAAAUUUUCCCGUAAAAAGGAAUAACCUAAACAAUUUUAAAAAAUUAAAAUUGGUUUGAUUUUUCUUGAUUUAAAAAGGAAAAAAAAGUAAAAAUUAACUUGAUCUCAAAUCAGAUAAGAGUACCCGCUGAACUUAAGCAUAUCAAUAAGCGGAGGAAAAGAAACUAACUAGGAUUCCCUCAGUAACGGCGAGUGAAGCGGGAAGAGCUCAAAUUUGAAAUCUUCAAGGUUUUACCUUGACGAAUUGUAGUUUAAAGAAGUGUUUUCUGUUGGAGUUUUGGUAAAAGUUCUUUGGAAAAGGACAUCAUAGAGGGUGAGAAUCCCGUAUUUGACCAUUAUCUCCAGCUUUGUGAUACACUUUCAAAGAGUCGGAUUGUUUGGGAAUGCAGUCCAAAAUGGGUGGUAAAUUUCAUCUAAAGCUAAAUACUGGCGAGAGACCGAUAGCGAACAAGUACCGUGAGGGAAAGAUGAAAAGAACUUUGAAAAGAGAGUUAAACAGUACGUGAAAUUGUCAAAAGGGAAGCGUUUGACACCAGUGUUGUUUUCUCGAAAAUCAAUUAAAAAAGGCCGGAUUUUGUGUUGUAUUGACUUUAUCAGCUUUCUGCACUUUUUUCUUGUCUUUUUUAAUGCACUUUUCGUUUAACAAGUCAACAUCAAUUUCUUUUGUUGUAAAAGGGUCAUUGGAAGGUGGCUUUCUUUUCGGAGAAAGUGUUUAUAGCCUUUGGCCUCUGCAAUCGGAGAGAUUGAGGUCUGCAGCGUAGAUCCUUCGGGUUAGAUACAUUUGUGCUAAGUUAUAGCCUUUCAUAGACAACUUGUUGACUAUGAUCAGUCAUGUAGCUUACUCGCUUAUGCUAUUU
RNAcentral lists this unclassified non-coding RNA (1412 nucleotides) under uncultured Neocallimastigales. Its description in RNAcentral is "partial contains small subunit ribosomal RNA, internal transcribed spacer 1, 5.8S ribosomal RNA, internal transcribed spacer 2, and large subunit ribosomal RNA". The stretch from base 656 to 1412 matches the Rfam family "Eukaryotic large subunit ribosomal RNA", at positions 1 to 617 of the family's 3401-position model. The record is from RNAcentral. Lineage: Eukaryota; Fungi; Neocallimastigomycota; Neocallimastigomycetes; Neocallimastigales.